AGCGGCGCGCUUAAUGCAUGCAAGUCGAGCGAUGAGGCUCCUUCGGGGGUACAUCAGCGGCAGACGGGUGAGUAACACGUAGGUGACCUACCCUCGAGACGGGGAUAACGGCUGGAAACAGUCGCUAAUACCCGAUAGACUUACCAGGUCAAAGCGGUAAGAAAAGCUACGGUGCUUGGGGAGGGGCCUGCGGCCCAUCAGCUAGUUGGUAGGGUAACGGCCUACCAAGGCGAAGACGGGUAGGGGGUGUGAGAGCACGAGCCCCCACAAUGGGACUGCGACACGGCCCAUACUCCUACGGGAGGCAGCAGCAGGGAAUAUUGCACAAUGGACGGAAGUCUGAUGCAGCGACGCCGCGUGAGUGAAGACGGCCUUCGGGUUGUAAAGCUCCUUUACGGGGACGAGGAAGGACGGUACCCUGGGAAGAAGUGUCGGCUAACUACGUGCCAGCAGCCGCGGUAAGACGUAGGACACAAGCGUUAUCCGGAGUUACUGGGCGUAAAGCGCCUGCAGGCGGCCUGGUAAGUUGGACGUGAAAGCCCCGUGCUUAACGCGGGGAGGUCGGACAAUACUGCCAAGCUAGAGUGCGUCAGAGGGGAGUGGAAUUUCCGGGGUAGCGGUAAAAUGCGCAGAUAUCGGAAGGAACACCAGUGGCGAAAGCGACUCCCUGGGGCGCGACUGACGCUAAGAGGCGAAAGCUAGGGGAGCGAACAGGAUUAGAGACCCUGGUAGUCCUAGCCCUAAACGAUGGAUGCUAGGUGUGGGACGUAAAGUUCCGUGCCGGAGCCAACGCGAUAAGCAUCCCGGCUGGGGACUACGGUCGCAAGGCUAAAACUCAAACGAAUUGACGGGGACCCGCACAAGCAGCGGAGCGUGUGGUUCAAUUCGAUGCUACACG
RNAcentral lists this ribosomal RNA (898 nucleotides) under uncultured organism. RNAcentral describes it as "bacterial SSU rRNA". It matches the Rfam family "Bacterial small subunit ribosomal RNA", at positions 38 to 963 of the family's 1533-position model. The record is from RNAcentral.